GUGUUGGGGUUAGCAUUGCAUGCACAUCCUGGCUGUGUCUUCAGCUGACAUUUCAUAGACUCAUAGAACAGUUUGGGUUGGCAGGGACCUUAACAUUUAUCCAGUUCUGAACCCUCGCCAUGGGCAGGGACACUUUCCACUAGACCCGGUUUUUCAAGGCCCCAUCCAACAUGGCCUUGAACGUUAACAGGGUCGGGGACACCCACAGCCUCUCUGGGAAACUUCUUCCAAUGUCUCAGGGAAAAAUUUCUUCCUAAUUCAUAACCCAAAUCUAUCCUCUUUCAGUUUAAAGUCAUUGCCCUUUCUCCUAUCACUACAUGCCUUGUAAACAGUCCCUCUCUGUAGGAGUGUAGGAGAGUUCCCCUAAUACCUUUCCAGGUCUCUUGUAGCCUGUUUUGCUACUGGAGGGGUGCUACAAGGUCUCCCCAGAGCCUUCACUUUUCUAGGCUGAGACCCCAACUCCCUGAGCCAUGCCUCAUAAGUGAGGUGCUCCAGACAUCUGAUCAUCUUUGGGGCCUCCUCUGGACUCAUUCCAACAAGUCACAUCCCUCUUAUGUUGGAUGCAGCUCUCCAGGGGGUUGACUGGCUGCCAAGGGCCCUGACAACAAAUCUGUCCUGCUUCAGGAAGCAAAUGUGGCAUCCAAGCUCAGAGAUGUCCAGAUAUCCUGUGCCUUCAUUGUGCGUGGGAAACAAGUGCGUGUGGAGAAUAAAAGUCUACCUAUGAUACUGCACUCCACUCUGAGAGAGCAGAGGCUUCAUGAGAUUAUCCUUGAAUAUAUAAGCAAUCAGUUGUACCCCAUAAGGAAGCUCCAGACAGGAAAAUUGAAGUACUAGCUGAAAUAUCAUAUGAGCUGUGUUGUGGUCAUUUCUGUGAGAAGACAGAAGCUUGCAAGUCCAGUUUUGCUCUACAGUAUUUGCGUGUAUUGCGGGAUACCCAGACUUCAGAUUCCUGGGACACUCUGCCUGGUCAUGGAUAAACCAUUACAAGAGCAAAGAACUGGAGUUGGUCAAGGUAUACAGCUACAGAGAGGUGACUCCUGAUUCUGAUUGUGAAAACCCCAGAUGUAUGAAUGAGGGCAGUCACCUUGAGAAGUAUCCCUGAAGUCUGGCAAGGAGAGGCUGCACAAUCUGUGCUGUACCACAGCGACUGAAGAUUUUGGCUGCCAUCCUCUGCAGGGAAACGAAGGCACAGAGAUGCUAAAGGACACAUCCCAGAUUUAUAAUUUCCUACAUGCUGGAAGUAGGACAGGAAUGUCUAAUCUCUUAUUUCUUGAAAAAAACACCACAUCACGAUAAGACCUUGAUGAAACCAAACACUGAGUUGCCAGCAUAGAAAGGACAUCGACUUGCUGGAAUGAGACCAGGGGAAGACACAAAGAUUCACAGGGGCUGCUGCACAGUCACACCAAUGCAAGUUUCUGCAAAUCUCUGCAGAGAUCUCGGUUAGAUCCCACAGCGACAAAUCUUUAAUGUAUGCUUUAGAACUGACAGCAGACCUCAAGCCAGUCUUCCUUUACUGCAAAAACGAGGGAUUUCUUCUCUUGUGAAUGGAAGCUGUUCACGUUUUUUAUGGAGAAGAGACUGUCAUACUCCAGAGAAACAUGGAAAAAUGCAGAGUGGGUCAAGCAGGAGACUUCCUUGGCCUUUUGGAACAUGCCCAGCUACUGAAGGCACUGGCUUACACUAUGUGGCAUUGCUGGCAUAAACAAGUAUUUACAGUUUAUGCAGCAAAGAAGACAAUCACCUAUAGUGUCCUUCUGCUGCUCUGGGUGUACAGCUAACCACGCUUCAGGAAACUCCAGUAUUGCCACUAGCAUAAAGAUAAAACAGAGAAAGAACAAGCCCAUUGCAACAACAAGAUAAUCUCUUCAGUAGCUGAGAUGUCUUCACUUGUGAGUAGAAAGCACAGGGAAAUAAAUAUCGUAAGAAUGGCACUAAGGACAAGAUAGACCUAUUUAUAUUUAAUAGGACUUUGUAGACUUCUGUGGCCUGAUUGCAGUGACAUGGUACAUAAAUGAUAUAAUUUCAUUGGAUUAAAAGGAGUUAUUCAUUUAUCUGGAGUUAGCCAGCAUCAGCUCUGAAAUCACCAGAUUGUACCAUUAUUUAUCGGUAAAAUUCUUAUUCUAAACAUCUGAGUUUAUCCCUUCAGGCAUAGUUAGGCCAUAUGCAGUCAUAGAAUUUCAAAUUUUGCUUGGAGCAUAAAUAUGAGGCUAGACAAUUGAAAGAGAGUUUUUAUACAUCCUUACAAUUUAUGUUUUAGCAUAUAAUGAGCAAGUGCUCCCAUGUAUGAUGAUUAGGUAUUUAUUUCCUCUGCAAGCCAAUGGUCAUGGAUUCUCUCAUCAAAAACUGUGUACUUUCAUUUCCUCUCUUGUUCUUUCAUUCACCUCUCCAUUGUUAAACAAUUAAGUAGUAAAAGCUAUUAAUAUUAUGUUAAAAAAUUCAUCCUAUUUCACGGUUUUUUUCCAGUCUUGUUACACUAUUUUCAUGUGAAAACAUGGAUGAAAACACUUAGCAAAACAAAAGACACACAAAAUAUCAGAAGUAGGACAUUUGUAGAUAAUCUUCAAAACAUAUUGCCAUAUGAAUUAAAGAAUGAAAACCAUCAACACGUUGUAGCUUCUAAGACUUUUUUUCUUGUAUAUAUAUGAACAUUUGUUCUGCUUUAAAGGAUGUAUGUGUAUGAAGCAUUUCUCAAUAAAUAGCAUCAAAAUCAUGCAUGAAAGGUCACUCUGAGCUCUCUUAAAUGCAUGGUAUCAUCUGCUACAUGAAAUUAGGAAAGCUAGAAUGAUAAGCAGUUUCCUUUAAUGGGAAAAAUUGGCAAUUUCUCCAACAAAUAGCUCUGUAUGAUGGCAGUAGAGCUCAGAGAGAGGGGAAAAUUGAGGAGAAUUACACUGCAGAACCAACAUCUUUUCCAGCCCUAUGAAAAAGAGCUGUUCAUUAGACCAACUAUUCUCCCUGGGUCUGACAAGUGUCUAUCCAUGUAAGGAUUUUUUUGUUCUUCAUAUUUAGGUAACAGGUGAA
Molecule: long non-coding RNA, 3021 nt
Organism: Passer domesticus (house sparrow)
Lineage: Eukaryota; Metazoa; Chordata; Aves; Passeriformes; Passeridae
Exons: 10
Source: RefSeq, a predicted model, not a curated record